Molecule: ribosomal RNA, 421 nt
Filed under: uncultured bacterium
Lineage: Bacteria
Description: partial 16S ribosomal RNA
Rfam family: Bacterial small subunit ribosomal RNA
Source: RNAcentral
AAUAUUGGACAAUGGGCGAAAGCCUGAUCCAGCCAUGCCGCGUGUGUGAAGAAGGUCUUCGGAUUGUAAAGCACUUUAAGUUGGGAGGAAGGGCAGUAAGUUAAUACCUUGCUGCUUUGACGUUACCGACAGAAUAAGCACCGGCUAACUUCGUGCCAGCAGCCGCGGGAAUACGAAGGGUGCAAGCGUUAAUCGGAAUUACUGGGCGUAAAGGGGGGGUAGGGUGGUUUGUUAAGUGGAAAGGGAAGCCCCGGGCUUAAACCGGGAACUUCUUUCAAAAACGGGAAGCCAGGAGAUGGGAGGAGGUUGUUGGAUUUCCUGGUGAGGCGGGAAAAGGGUAAGUAUUGGGAGGGACACCAGUGGGCGAAGCGACCCCCUUGGCUAAUAAUUACAAUGGGGUGCCAAAGCGUGGGGAGCAAAC